UACAGAGGUCUCAAGCGUUGUUCGGAUUCAUUGGGCGUAAAGGGUGCGUAGGCGGCGCGGUAAGUCGGGUGUGAAAUCUCGGAGCUUAACUCCGAAACUGCAUUCGAUACUGCCGUGCUUGAGGACUGGAGAGGAGACUGGAAUUUACGGUGUAGCGGUGAAAUGCGUAGAUAUCUGGAGGAACAUCAGUGGCGAAAGCGACUGCCUGGACCAAUACUGACGCUCAUGUGCGGAAGCGUGGGGAGCAAACAGG
This 253-nucleotide ribosomal RNA is filed under the name uncultured bacterium. RNAcentral's name for it is "partial 16S ribosomal RNA". It matches the Rfam family "Bacterial small subunit ribosomal RNA", at positions 524 to 776 of the family's 1533-position model. The record is from RNAcentral.